Molecule: ribosomal RNA, 253 nt
Filed under: uncultured bacterium
Lineage: Bacteria
Description: partial 16S ribosomal RNA
Rfam family: Bacterial small subunit ribosomal RNA
Source: RNAcentral
UACGUAGGGGGCAAGCGUUGUCCGGAGUUACUGGGCGUAAAGCGCACGCAGGCGGUCUUUUAAGUUUGGAGUGACAGUUGGUGGCUUAACUGCCAAAGUGCUUCGAAAACUGAGAGACUUGAGGGCUUCAGAGGGACACGGAAUUCCGGGUGGAGUGGUGAAAUGCGUAGAGAUGUGGAGGAACACCAGUGGCGAAGGCGGCUUUCUGGUCUGUAACUGACGCUGAGGCGCGAAAGCGUGGGGAGCAAACAGG